CCGAGGCCCGUAGUAAGCCUAAAUUAUCCAAUAUGUCUACCUAUCUUUUCCAAUUUCAUCAAAACAGUAAACCCAUAUACAAACAUCUGGCCCAAACUCAAAUAACACAUAAUGUAUAACCAGGGCCUAUUCACAAUAAAUUAUAAUCACGUUAUGGGCUUACUGGUUCACCUGCAGCUAAUUACCUAACAUUUAAUUUAUAGUGUAGUGCUAACAAUAAGUCCAAUAUUAAUACACAACUCUAUAACUGCGGAGUCCAAAAAUAAUCUGAUAACAGAAUAAUUUAUACAUCCAAAAUUAAAUAACAUGAAUAUAAAGUUUACAUUUGUAACUCUGCGGAGAAGAUUGCAGAGCUUCAGUCGAAUCAGCUGCUUCCUAGUACCUGGGAGGUUUGUUGGGGGGGGUGAGUUUUGCAACUCAGUGAAUAAUAAUAAAUAAUACACACCACAUACAGUCAAGCAAAAUGCACCCUAGUAUACUGAAUGAACACACAACAGUCAAUCAUAUGACAUUACAUCAGCACCCACAAACAAUAUCACCUUCAAAUAAUCACAUCACGUGGAAAUUAGUCAGUGGCGUCACCUAAACCCCCGACGAGCCGUCCUCUCAAACAGCCCAUCCUCUCAAACAUGUGCACCCGGGGAGCCAAUCCCCCAUAUCUGGCCGACCGGUCUAAUCCUCACUUGACCAGCCCUCUCA
RNAcentral lists this long non-coding RNA (699 nucleotides) under Jatropha curcas. RNAcentral's name for it is "long non-coding RNA (JCUR_LNC000075)". The record is from RNAcentral. Lineage: Eukaryota; Viridiplantae; Streptophyta; Magnoliopsida; Malpighiales; Euphorbiaceae.